Molecule: non-coding RNA, 243 nt
Organism: Paramuricea clavata
Lineage: Eukaryota; Metazoa; Cnidaria; Anthozoa; Malacalcyonacea; Plexauridae
Source: the annotation of a GenBank genome assembly
AGCGUUCGUGAGUACUCUGGCAAGAAGUUCUAAGCUUUCCAGUUUUGAAAAGUGUAAAUAGAGUGGUUCGAAGAACAGCAGUUGAAGACUGACAAGAUCCCUCGUAUUUUUACUACACCUAUAUCACAGACAGCCCAUAUACCACUGAUUUUAAUCCACAUAGAGUCUUAGUUACAUUUUUUGUCUUUUAGUUAUGUAUUCAUAGCGAAUUAAUAAACAUGGCGUUAAACCGCUUUCACGAAG